AGGUUUUGAAAACCCCUAUAUCAAUGGAUAUGCUUGGAUGCAUUUUCAAUGGAUCAGGAAGACCGAUAGACAAUGGUCCUCCUAUAUUGCCUGAGGCUUACGUGGAUAUUUCAGGAAGUUCAAUCAACCCUAGCGAGAGAACCUAUCUUGAAGAGAUAAUUCAGACAGGGAUAUCUACGAUUGAUGUCAUGAACUCCAUCGCCCAAGGACAGAAGAUUCCUCUCUUCUCUGCUACUGGGCUUCCUCAUAAUGAAAUAGCCGCCCAGAUUUUGUCAUCAGGCUGGUCUAAUGAAGCGGUUAGAGAAGUCUGUAAAUCUCAUGGAGGAUGGAGUGGAGGACAAUUUUGCCAUUGUUUUUGCAGCUAUGGGAGUCAACAUGGAGAUAGCUCAGUUCUUCAAACGUGAUUUUGAAGAAAAUGGUUCAAUGAAGAGAGUGACCCUUUUUCUAAACUUGGUACACGAAUCCUUGACUUCAGGUCCUUCUUAUGCUAUUGACAUAACAAGGGAGGUACACAUUUUCCUUGAAAGUAUGAUACAUGAGCCUAGUUCAUUUUUGUCAAAUUCCAUGUAUGAUAGUGAUGUUAAUUUUUUGUUUUUGUGUUACCAUUUUACAUUUGAACCAUGACCAUAUGCAAUCUGAGGUGUGGGGAGGCUCAUGAGGUUCCUUGGAGAUCUUUCUCAGUUGUCUCUAGCAUCCCUAGAUUAAGCUGAGAAAAUGACCUUGUAUGCAAGGUUGGUCAUCUUGUGCACAAUGUGUAUUAAUCAUUUACUUUGUGCUUCCACAAAAAUUGGACACAUGCCAUGAUGGUUUGUGAUCUGAAUUUUUGGUGAGGAAAAUUGUUUGACAGUCAUGUUGAAGGUGAUACUUUUGUCCUU
Molecule: long non-coding RNA, 875 nt
Organism: Magnolia sinica
Lineage: Eukaryota; Viridiplantae; Streptophyta; Magnoliopsida; Magnoliales; Magnoliaceae
Exons: 5
Source: RefSeq, a predicted model, not a curated record